AAACUGCGAUAAUUAAUGUGAAUUGCAGAAUUCUGUGAAUCAUCAAGACCUUGAACGCAAACUGCGCCUACGGGUCCACCUGUAGGCACGCUUGUUUGAGUGUCGAUUCAUUCACUAUCCCUUUAUUAUUCCUAUUUUUUUUUUAAGUGGGUAAUAAUAAAGGGGAAUUGGAGGUGUGGUUUUUCCUCUUUUUUUUUUAAAAAAAAGAGGGGGGGACCACUCCUUUUAAGUUCAUCUUCGGACUUUGCUUUUCAAAAAAACGAAUCAGUUUCAGCAAAGAGGUCCAGCCAGUAGGUACCAAUACGUUGGUUUAUCGAAAAUUCACAUCUCUCUUGUCUAAAUUUGACAUUCGUUUUUGAAGCAAUAUAAAUCAAGUUCGAAUAAAAGGAAAGAAUCAAAACAACCGAUCAUUUCUCAACAAUUCGACCUCAAAUCAAGUGGGAUUACCCGCUGAAUUUAAGC
Molecule: unclassified non-coding RNA, 462 nt
Filed under: plant metagenome
Description: partial contains internal transcribed spacer 2 and large subunit ribosomal RNA
Rfam family: 5.8S ribosomal RNA (bases 1-105)
Source: RNAcentral